RNAcentral lists this non-coding RNA (27 nucleotides) under Homo sapiens (human). Lineage: Eukaryota; Metazoa; Chordata; Mammalia; Primates; Hominidae. The record is from RNAcentral.
UUGGAGUGUAGCUACUUUAACAGAUGG